RNAcentral lists this ribosomal RNA (1102 nucleotides) under Microbacterium aurantiacum. Its description in RNAcentral is "bacterial SSU rRNA". It matches the Rfam family "Bacterial small subunit ribosomal RNA", at positions 86 to 1196 of the family's 1533-position model. The record is from RNAcentral. Lineage: Bacteria; Bacillati; Actinomycetota; Actinomycetes; Micrococcales; Microbacteriaceae.
GGUGGAUCAGUGGCGAACGGGUGAGUAACACGUGAGCAACCUGCCCUGAACUCUGGGAUAAGCGCUGGAAACGGUGUCUAAUACUGGAUAUGAGCUGCGGAGGCAUCUUCGUGGUUGGAAAGAUUUUUCGGUUUGGGAUGGGCUCGCGGCCUAUCAGCUUGUUGGUGAGGUAAUGGCUCACCAAGGCGUCGACGGGUAGCCGGCCUGAGAGGGUGACCGGCCACACUGGGACUGAGACACGGCCCAGACUCCUACGGGAGGCAGCAGUGGGGAAUAUUGCACAAUGGGCGGAAGCCUGAUGCAGCAACGCCGCGUGAGGGAUGACGGCCUUCGGGUUGUAAACCUCUUUUAGCAGGGAAGAAGCGUGAGUGACGGUACCUGCAGAAAAAGCGCCGGCUAACUACGUGCCAGCAGCCGCGGUAAUACGUAGGGCGCAAGCGUUAUCCGGAAUUAUUGGGCGUAAAGAGCUCGUAGGCGGUUUGUCGCGUCUGCUGUGAAAUCUGGGGGCUCAACCCCCAGCCUGCAGUGGGUACGGGCAGACUAGAGUGCGGUAGGGGAGAUUGGAAUUCCUGGUGUAGCGGUGGAAUGCGCAGAUAUCAGGAGGAACACCGAUGGCGAAGGCAGAUCUCUGGGCCGUAACUGACGCUGAGGAGCGAAAGGGUGGGGAGCAAACAGGCUUAGAUACCCUGGUAGUCCACCCCGUAAACGUUGGGAACUAGUUGUGGGGUCCAUUCCACGGAUUCCGUGACGCAGCUAACGCAUUAAGUUCCCCGCCUGGGGAGUACGGCCGCAAGGCUAAAACUCAAAGGAAUUGACGGGGACCCGCACAAGCGGCGGAGCAUGCGGAUUAAUUCGAUGCAACGCGAAGAACCUUACCAAGGCUUGACAUACACGAGAACGCUGCAGAAAUGUAGAACUCUUUGGACACUCGUGAACAGGUGGUGCAUGGUUGUCGUCAGCUCGUGUCGUGAGAUGUUGGGUUAAGUCCCGCAACGAGCGCAACCCUCGUUCUAUGUUGCCAGCACGUAAUGGUGGGGAACUCAUGGGGAUACUGGCCGGGGUCAACUCCGGAGGAAGGUUGGGGAUGACGUCAAAUCAUCAU